AUACGUAGGUGGCAAGCGUUAUCCGGAUUUACUGGGUGUAAAGGGCGCGUAGGCGGGGAUGCAAGUCAGAUGUGAAAUCUAUGGGCUUAACCCAUAAACUGCAUUUGAAACUGUAUCUCUUGAGUGUCGGAGAGGUAGAUGGAAUUCCUUGUGUAGCGGUGAAAUGCGUAGAUAUAAGGAAGAACACCAGUGGCGAAGGCGAUCUACUGGACGAUAACUGACGCUGAGGCGCGAAAGCGUGGGGAGCAAACAGGAUUAGAUACCCUGGUAGUCCACGCUGUAAACGAUGAAUACUAGGUGUGGGGGGACUGACCCCUUCCGUGCCGCAGUUAACACAAUAAGUAUUCCACCUGGGGAGUACGGCCGCAAGGCUGAAACUCAAAGGAAUUGACGGGG
RNAcentral lists this ribosomal RNA (396 nucleotides) under uncultured bacterium. RNAcentral describes it as "partial 16S ribosomal RNA". It matches the Rfam family "Bacterial small subunit ribosomal RNA", at positions 523 to 918 of the family's 1533-position model. The record is from RNAcentral.